GGUGAAGAACGUAGUGAAAUGCGAUAAGUAAUGUGAAUUGCAGAAUUCAGUGAAUCAUCGAAUCUUUGAACGCACAUUGCGCCCGCCAGUAUUCUGGCGGGCAUGCCUGUUCGAGCGUCAUUUCAACCAUCAAGCCCCAGGCUUGUGUUGGAGCCCUGCGGCUGCCGCAGCCUCCCAAAACCAGUGGCGGGCUCGCUAUCACACCGAGUGCAGUAGUUUACUCUUCGCUCAGGGCGUGUGGCGGGUGCUAGCCGUAAAACCCCCAACUUCUCAAGGUUGACCUCGGAUCAGGUAGGAAUACCCGCUGAACUUAAGCAUAUCAAUAAGCGGAGGA
Molecule: unclassified non-coding RNA, 334 nt
Filed under: soil metagenome
Description: partial contains 5.8S ribosomal RNA, internal transcribed spacer 2, and large subunit ribosomal RNA
Rfam family: 5.8S ribosomal RNA (bases 3-120)
Source: RNAcentral